RNAcentral lists this small RNA (128 nucleotides) under Salmonella enterica subsp. enterica serovar Kentucky. RNAcentral describes it as "RtT sRNA". It matches the Rfam family "RtT RNA". Rfam says of the family: This family represents a bacterial cis-regulatory element known as RtT RNA. The exact function of RtT is unknown although it is thought that it may be involved in changing the cellular response in relation to amino acid starvation. Lineage: Bacteria; Pseudomonadati; Pseudomonadota; Gammaproteobacteria; Enterobacterales; Enterobacteriaceae. The record is from RNAcentral. RNAcentral also lists the same sequence under 1 other name.
UAUCUCUCCGUACGGGGAAGGAUGAGAAGCUUCGACUAAGGUUCGAUUCGAGCGCAGCGAGAAAGCGUUGCCGCAGGCAACGACCCGAAGGGCGAAGCGCGCAGCGCUGAGUCAUCCUUCCCCCACCA